GUUGUAUGGUUAAGUGACUAAGCGUACACGGUGGAUGCCUUGGCAGUCAGAGGCGAUGAAAGACGUAGUAACUUGCGAUAAGCCCAGAUUAGGUAGUAACAACCAUUUGAGUCUGGGAUUUCUGAAUGGGGAAACCCACGUGCAUAAGCACGUAUCCUUACCUGAAUACAUAGGGUAAGGAGGCGAACCGGGGGAACUGAAACAUCUAAGUACCCCGAGGAAAAGAAAUCAACCGAGAUUCCGAAAGUAGCGGCGAGCGAAAUUGGACUAGCCCUUAAGCUUUACACGCGUUAGACGAACGGUCUGGAAAGUCCGACGAUACAGGGUGAUAGUCCCGUAGUUGACGACGUGUGUUCAGUGAAAUCGAGUAGGGCGGGACACGUGAUAUCCUGUCUGAAUAUGGGGGGACCAUCCUCCAAGGCUAAAUACUACUGACUGACCGAUAGUGAACCAGUACCGUGAGGGAAAGGCGAAAAGAACCCCUGUGAGGGGAGUGAAAUAGAACCUGAAACCGUGUACGUACAAGCAGUAGGAGCAGGCUUUGUCCUGUGACUGCGUACCUUUUGUAUAAUGGGUCAGCGACUUAUAUUCAGUGGCAAGGUUAACCAUCUAGGGGAGCCGUAGGGAAACCGAGUCUUAACUGGGCGUUCAGUCUCUGGAUAUAGACCCGAAACCAGGUGAUCUAGCCAUGGGCAGGUUGAAGGUUGAGUAACAUCAACUGGAGGACCGAACCGACUAAUGUUGAAAAAUUAGCGGAUGACUUGUGGCUAGGGGUGAAAGGCCAAUCAAACCUGGAGAUAGCUGGUUCUCCCCGAAAGCUAUUUAGGUAGCGCCUCGGACGAAUACUACUGGGGGUAGAGCACUGUUAAGGCUAGGGGGUCAUCCCGACUUACCAACCCUUUGCAAACUCCGAAUACCAGUAAGUACUAUCCGGGAGACACACGGCGGGUGCUAACGUCCGUCGUGGAGAGGGAAACAACCCAGACCGCCAGCUAAGGUCCCAAAUUACUACUAAGUGGGAAACGAUGUGGGAAGGCUCAGACAGCCAGGAUGUUGGCUUAGAAGCAGCCAUCAUUUAAAGAAAGCGUAAUAGCUCACUG
This 1100-nucleotide ribosomal RNA is filed under the name Vibrio parahaemolyticus. RNAcentral describes it as "partial 23S ribosomal RNA". It matches the Rfam family "Bacterial large subunit ribosomal RNA", at positions 1 to 1147 of the family's 2925-position model. Lineage: Bacteria; Pseudomonadati; Pseudomonadota; Gammaproteobacteria; Vibrionales; Vibrionaceae. The record is from RNAcentral.